UACAGAGGUCCCAAGCGUUGUUCGGAUUCACUGGGCGUAAAGGGUGCGUAGGCGGUCGGGUAAGUCUGAUGUGGAACCUCACAGCUUAACUGUGAAACUGCAUUGGAUACUAUCCGGCUCGAGGAAUGGAGGGGAGACUGGAAUACUUGGUGUAGCAGUGAAAUGCGUAGAUAUCAAGUGGAACACCAGUGGCGAAGGCGAGUCUCUGGACAUUUCCUGACGCUGAGGCACGAAAGCCAGGGGAGCAAACGGG
RNAcentral lists this ribosomal RNA (253 nucleotides) under uncultured bacterium. RNAcentral's name for it is "partial 16S ribosomal RNA". It matches the Rfam family "Bacterial small subunit ribosomal RNA", at positions 524 to 776 of the family's 1533-position model. The record is from RNAcentral.